AUUGAACGCUGGCGGCAUGCCUAACACAUGCAAGUCGAACGCGAAAGUCACUUCGGUGGCGAGUAGAGUGGCGGACGGGUGAGUAACGCGUGGGAAUCUGCCUCGUAGUGGGGGACAACCCGGGGAAACCCGGGCUAAUACCGCAUACGUCUUACGAGAGAAAGGGGGCCUCUGCUUGCAAGCUCUCGCUAUGAGAUGAGCCCGCGUCGGAUUAGUUAGUUGGUGGGGUAAAGGCUCACCAAGGCGACGAUCCGUAGCUGGUCUGAGAGGAUGAUCAGCCACACUGGGACUGAGACACGGCCCAG
RNAcentral lists this ribosomal RNA (305 nucleotides) under uncultured bacterium. RNAcentral describes it as "bacterial SSU rRNA". It matches the Rfam family "Bacterial small subunit ribosomal RNA", at positions 30 to 334 of the family's 1533-position model. The record is from RNAcentral.